RNAcentral lists this ribosomal RNA (468 nucleotides) under uncultured bacterium. Its description in RNAcentral is "partial 16S ribosomal RNA". It matches the Rfam family "Bacterial small subunit ribosomal RNA", at positions 28 to 507 of the family's 1533-position model. The record is from RNAcentral.
GACGAACGCUGGCGGCGUGCUUAACACAUGCAAGUCGAACGGAAAGGCCCUGCUUUUGUGGGGUGCUCGAGUGGCGAACGGGUGAGUAACACGUGAGUAACCUGCCCUUGACUUUGGGAUAACUUCAGGAAACUGGGGCUAAUACCGGAUAGGAGCUCCUGCUGCAUGGUGGGGGUUGGAAAGUUUCGGCGGUUGGGGAUGGACUCGCGGCUUAUCAGCUUGUUGGUGGGGUAGUGGCUUACCAAGGCUUUGACGGGUAGCCGGCCUGGGAGGGUGACCGGCCACAUUGGGACUGAGAGACGGACCAGACGCCUACGGGAGGCAGCAGUGGGGAAUAUUGCACAAUGGGCGGAAGCCUGAUGCAGCAACGCCGCGUGCGGGAUGACGGCCUUCGGGUUGUAAACCGCUUUCGCCUGUGACGAAGCGUGAGUGACGGUAAUGGGUAAAGAAGAACCGGCUAACUACGUG